This 72-nucleotide transfer RNA is filed under the name Dipodomys ordii (Ord's kangaroo rat). It matches the Rfam family "tRNA". Rfam says of the family: Transfer RNA (tRNA) molecules are approximately 80 nucleotides in length. Their secondary structure includes four short double-helical elements and three loops (D, anti-codon, and T loops). Lineage: Eukaryota; Metazoa; Chordata; Mammalia; Rodentia; Heteromyidae. The record is from Rfam by way of RNAcentral.
UGGGAUGUAGCUCAGUAGCAAAGCACUUGCCUAGCAAGUGAAACAUCCUGGGUUCGAUCCCCAGUACCCCCC